RNAcentral lists this ribosomal RNA (253 nucleotides) under uncultured bacterium. RNAcentral's name for it is "partial 16S ribosomal RNA". It matches the Rfam family "Bacterial small subunit ribosomal RNA", at positions 524 to 776 of the family's 1533-position model. The record is from RNAcentral.
UACGUAGGGUGCAGGCGUUAAUCGGAAUUACUGGGCGUAAAGCGUGCGCAGGCGGUUUGCUAAGACAGGUGUGAAAUCCCCGGGCUUAACCUGGGAACUGCGCUUGUAACUGGCAAGCUUGAGUGUGGCAGAGGGGGGUGGAAUUCCACGUGUAGCAGUGAAAUGCGUAGAGAUGUGGAGGAACACCAGUGGCGAAGGCGACUCUCUGGUCUGCAACUGACGCUGAGGAGCGAAAGCGUGGGGAGCGAACAGG